This 469-nucleotide ribosomal RNA is filed under the name uncultured bacterium. RNAcentral describes it as "partial 16S ribosomal RNA". It matches the Rfam family "Bacterial small subunit ribosomal RNA", at positions 28 to 507 of the family's 1533-position model. The record is from RNAcentral.
GACGAACGCUGGCGGCGUGCUUAACACAUGCAAGUCGAACGGAAAGGCCCUGCUUGCAGGGUGCUCGAGUGGCGAACGGGUGAGUAACACGUGGGUGAUCUGCCCCUUACUUUGGGAUAAGCCUGGGAAACUGGGUCUAAUACUGGAUAGGACCAUGCUGUAGGUGGUGUGGUGGAAAGAUUAGUUUCGGUAGGGGAUGAGCUCUCGGCCUAUCAGCUUGUUGGUGGGGUAAUGGCCUACCAAGGCGUCGACGGGUAGCCGGCCUGAGAGGGUGGACGGCCACAUUGGGACUGAGAUACGGCCCAGACUCCUACGGGAGGCAGCAGUGGGGAAUAUUGCACAAUGGGCGCAAGCCUGAUGCAGCGACGCCGCGUGGGGGAUGACGGCCUUCGGGUUGUAAGCUCCUUUCAGCCAUGACGAAGCCCUUGUGGUGACGGUAGUGGUAGAAGAAGCACCGGCUAACUACGUG